Molecule: non-coding RNA, 386 nt
Organism: Onthophagus taurus
Lineage: Eukaryota; Metazoa; Arthropoda; Insecta; Coleoptera; Scarabaeidae
Source: RefSeq, a predicted model, not a curated record
CCCAAUAUUCUCACCUCUUCCGCUUCCUUCUUUCCUUAAAUCCUAAAGGAAUACAAAUUUGCACAAUUCCUCCCUGCAAAAACUUCGAGUCUGUGAACGAAAUCAAUCAUUACAUUCGACGGUUUUGUGCUGAAAAGCAAAUCAAUUGUACCGACAUUGAAGCAAUUGUUAACAGAAACAUGAUGGAAGGGGAUGGCAUUCACUUAAAUGAACAAGGAUUGGAAGCGGUUUGGAACGCGGUAGCAACUAAUUAUAAUAAUAUUCUCAAUCCAUUACACAAUUUAAUUAUAAGUAAAACAGACCAUUAAUAUAAUAAAUUUCAUUCUUUAUCAAAAGUUUUUUUUUCUAUCAAAAAUCCACUCUCCAAAUCAUCCUAAAAUUUCAGA